Molecule: unclassified non-coding RNA, 355 nt
Filed under: soil metagenome
Description: partial contains 5.8S ribosomal RNA, internal transcribed spacer 2, and large subunit ribosomal RNA
Rfam family: 5.8S ribosomal RNA (bases 1-120)
Source: RNAcentral
GAUGAAGAACGUAGCGAAAUGCGAUAAGUAAUGUGAAUUGCAGAAUUCAGUGAAUCAUCGAAUCUUUGAACGCACAUUGCGCCCGCCAGUAUUCUGGCGGGCAUGCCUGUCCGAGCGUCAUUUCAACCCUCGAACCCCUCCGGGGGGUCGGCGUUGGGGAUCGGCCCUGCCUCCUGGCGGUGGCCGUCUCCGAAAUACAGUGGCGGUCUCGCCGCAGCCUCUCCUGCGCAGUAGUUUGCACACUCGCAUCGGGAGCGCGGCGCGUCCACAGCCGUUAAACACCCAACUUCUGAAAUGUUGACCUCGGAUCAGGUAGGAAUACCCGCUGAACUUAAGCAUAUCAAUAAGCGGAGGA